This 253-nucleotide ribosomal RNA is filed under the name uncultured bacterium. Its description in RNAcentral is "partial 16S ribosomal RNA". It matches the Rfam family "Bacterial small subunit ribosomal RNA", at positions 524 to 776 of the family's 1533-position model. The record is from RNAcentral.
UACGGAGGGUGCAAGCGUUAUCCGGAUUUACUGGGUUUAAAGGGUGCGUAGGUGGGUAAGUAAGUCAGUGGUGAAAUCUUCGAGCUUAACUCGGAAACUGCCAUUGAUACUAUUUAUCUUGAAUACUUUGGAGGUAAGCGGAAUAUGUCAUGUAGCGGUGAAAUGCUUAGGUAUGACAUAGAACACCAAUUGCGAAGGCAGCUUACUACACAGUUAUUGACACUGAGGCACGAAAGCGUGGGGAUCAAACAGG